GAGAGCCGUGUGCAUCGAGAGGUGCCCGCACGGUUCGGGAGGGAGCGUCCACGAGGCGCUUACCUCAU
This is a non-coding RNA of Lachnospiraceae bacterium A2, 68 nucleotides long. NCBI's taxonomy places the organism in Bacteria, Bacillati, Bacillota, Clostridia, Lachnospirales, Lachnospiraceae. The record is from Rfam.